RNAcentral lists this transfer RNA (70 nucleotides) under Endeis sp. JZ-2022. RNAcentral describes it as "tRNA-Leu". The record is from RNAcentral. Lineage: Eukaryota; Metazoa; Arthropoda; Pycnogonida; Pantopoda; Endeidae.
AUUGAAGUGGCAGAGUUAAGUGCGUUAAUUUUAAGUAUUAAAUAUAGUAUAGUAUUAUUACUCUUUAGUA